GGACGAACCUCUGGAGAGCCUCAUCAUUGAGCACCGAAGGAGCAAGCUAUUUGAUAAAUAGUGAAACUCUCAGGUAGAAGGACAGAGCAGAAUGC
RNAcentral lists this non-coding RNA (95 nucleotides) under Garciella nitratireducens. Its description in RNAcentral is "Glycine sequence". It matches the Rfam family "Glycine riboswitch aptamer". Rfam says of the family: This family represents the bacterial glycine riboswitch. Glycine riboswitches usually consist of two metabolite-binding aptamers domains with similar structures in tandem. The record is from RNAcentral. Lineage: Bacteria; Bacillati; Bacillota; Clostridia; Eubacteriales; Eubacteriaceae.